This is a non-coding RNA of Meleagris gallopavo (turkey), 1683 nucleotides long. Lineage: Eukaryota; Metazoa; Chordata; Aves; Galliformes; Phasianidae. The record is from RefSeq and is a predicted model, not a curated record.
GAAAGGCUCUCUUCUGGAGAUCUCUCCUUUGAGAGUUUUGUAGUGAGACCAGGAUGUGGUGGGUUGCUGUGACACCGGUGCAAGGCCUUGCAUUUGGAUUUUUGAACCUCAUGACGUUCCCCUGUGCACACUCCAGGUCUCUCUUGAUGGCAUCCCAUCCCUGAGGUGUGCUGACCACAACACACGUCAUGUGUCAUCCACAAACUUGCUGAUGCUGCAUUUGAUCUCAUUGUCAGUGUCUUUGAUUAAGGAUAUAACAGAGCGCUAGCCCCAGUACUGACCCCUGUGGGACGCCACUCAUCACUCCAACCAGACUGUGACCCAUUGGCCGUUACUCUCUGGGUAUGGUCUUGUAACUAGUUCCCCAUUCAUCAAACUCUCCACCUAUCAAAUCCAUAUCUUUUUAAUUUAGAGAGAAGAAUGUUGUGGGUAACUUUCCCAAAGGCCUUACUGAAGUCUAGGUAGAAAACAUCAGUGGCUCUUUACUUGUCCAUUUACACAGUUAUACCAUCAUGGAAAGUCAUUAUGUUGGUCAGACAGGACUUGCCCUUGAUGAAGCUGGUUUAUUUCACACCACCUUCAUCUCUUCCGCAUCCCUGACUAUAGCUUCCAGGAGGAUCUGUUCCUUGAUGUUUCUCUGAAACAGAGUCACUAGGGACUUCGCCUGACUGCCAUAACUUUUCAAAUAUCAUCGAGCGUGUCUUGGUGACUACAUCACCCAAUUCCCUCUGGACUCUAGGAUGCAUCUGGUUCCUCAGAUGGAUGUGAACCCGAUCUUCAGUUACAGCAGGAGGGACGUUGCUCCUUCAGUACCCACCUUUAAAGCCAUUCACUGAAGGGGUGUGUGAAGAGUAGUUGCCAGAGAGAACUGAGACACAAAAGGCUGUUUUUGCACCUCAGCCUUCUCCUUGUCUACAGUUAUCAGCCUGCCUCUAUUGCUCACUAGGGAUUGGCACACCUUCUCGGACUUCCUUUUUCUGAAUUAUGUACCCGUAGAAGCUUUUUUAAUUCUUCUCCCCUCUUGGCAUGUCCAGUUCUAGUUAGGCCUUGGCCUUCCUGACCCUGUCUCUACACACCCUAGCAGCAUCCUUACACUCUCCUCUCAGGGUACCUGUUCCUGCUUCCACUAAAUUGUUUCUUAUAUACACAUAUAACUACUUAAAAAUGAACAAAGCCUGUACUCAGGCUUCCCUCUUCUCUUCCCCAUUGUGUAAGACAUUGCUAUAAUGGAUUUGUCUGACAUUUUUUUUUAAUCUUCCAUGUAGACUAAUUGUGUAUGUACUAGAUGGGCAUGCUAGUUAUGCAUAUUUUGACACUUUUUAGAAUUAGGACAUAAUGCAGUAGUUGUGUAGUUCUCUAAGCUAUGUUCUCAAGGAGAAUGAAUGUUAAAAAAAAAGUAAAAAAAAAACACAACAACGAAAAAGUCAAAAUUCUCUUUUCACAAGUUAAAUCAGACUCCUUAACAGAAAAGUCGAGUGGAGUAAUCUUAUCUGAGGUGCUGGGGAAUUUCAUAACCAAUCCUUCUAGUUACCUUAACCAGGAUAAAACUUUCAUGGUUUUAUCACUCUAGCUAAAACAUAUAAAUGGCUUACACAGAAGCAUUUUGUUAUAUUGAAAAACUCUUACGUUUUGUUAAAAUGUGCUAUUCUGCAUAAAAAUAAAUCAUAGUAGAAAAUAAAAAUA